This 20-nucleotide microRNA is filed under the name Gallus gallus (chicken). RNAcentral describes it as "gga-miR-12212-5p". Lineage: Eukaryota; Metazoa; Chordata; Aves; Galliformes; Phasianidae. The record is from miRBase by way of RNAcentral.
CCGGGCGGGAGGGGAGCGGC